RNAcentral lists this ribosomal RNA (856 nucleotides) under Tetraploa obpyriformis. Its description in RNAcentral is "Tetraploa sp. CFL-2021b partial large subunit ribosomal RNA". It matches the Rfam family "Eukaryotic large subunit ribosomal RNA", at positions 68 to 941 of the family's 3401-position model. Lineage: Eukaryota; Fungi; Ascomycota; Dothideomycetes; Pleosporales; Tetraplosphaeriaceae. The record is from RNAcentral.
ACAGGGAUUGCCCCAGUAACGGCGGAGUGAAGCGGCAACAGCUCAAAUUUGAAAUCUGGCCCUUUCAGGGCCCGAGUUGUAAUUUGCAGAGGGCGCUUUGGCGUUGGCUCCUGCCUAAGUUCCUUGGAACAGGACGUCAUAGAGGGUGAGAACCCCGUACGUGGCAGGCCGCCUUCGCCGUGUAAAGCCCCUUCGACGAGUCGAGUUGUUUGGGAAUGCAGCUCUAAAUGGGAGGUAAAUUCCUUCUAAAGCUAAAUACUGGCCAGAGACCGAUAGCGCACAAGUAGAGUGAUCGAAAGAUGAAAAGCACUUUGGAAAGAGAGUCAAAAAGCACGUGAAAUUGUUGAAAGGGAAGCGCUUGCAGCCAGACUUGCCUGCAGUUGUUCAUCCGGGCUCCCGCCCGGUGCACUCUUCUGCGGGCAGGCCAGCAUCAGUUUGGGCGGCCGGAUAAAGGCCCCAGGAACGUAGCUCUCUCCGGGGAGUGUUAUAGCCUGGGGCGCAAUGCGGCCAGCCCGGACUGAGGUCCGCGCAUCUGCUAGGAUGCUGGCGUAAUGGCUGUAAGCGGCCCGUCUUGAAACACGGACCAAGGAGUCUAACAUCUAUGCGAGUGUUUGGGUGUAAAGCCCGGGCGCGUAAUGAAAGUGAACGGAGGUGGGAACCCCCUGGGGUGCACCAUCGACCGAUCCUGAUGUCUUCGGAUGGAUUUGAGUAAGAGCAUAGCUGUUGGGACCCGAAAGAUGGUGAACUAUGCCUGAAUAGGGUGAAGCCAGAGGAAACUCUGGUGGAGGCUCGCAGCGGUUCUGACGUGCAAAUCGCUCGUCAAAUUUGGGCAUAGGGGCGAAAGACUAAUCGAACU